Molecule: microRNA precursor, 52 nt
Filed under: Pan troglodytes (chimpanzee)
Lineage: Eukaryota; Metazoa; Chordata; Mammalia; Primates; Hominidae
Description: mir-1302 microRNA precursor family
Rfam family: mir-1302 microRNA precursor family
Source: Rfam by way of RNAcentral
UUUUUAGUAUAAGUAUAUCCCAUGCAAUAUUUGGGACAUACUUAUACUUAAG